UGAACGCUAGCUACAGGCUUAACACAUGCAAGUCGAGGGGCAGCAUGAUUUGUAGCAAUACAGAUUGAUGGCGACCGGCGCACGGGUGAGUAACGCGUAUGCAACUUACCUAUCAGAGGGGGAUAGCCCGGCGAAAGUCGGAUUAAUACCCCAUAAAACAGGGGUCCCGCAUGGGAAUAUUUGUUAAAGAUUCAUCGCUGAUAGAUAGGCAUGCGUUCCAUUAGGCAGUUGGCGGGGUAACGGCCCACCAAACCGACGAUGGAUAGGGGUUCUGAGAGGAAGGUCCCCCACAUCGGUACUGAGACACGGACCAAACUCCUACGGGAGGCAGCAGUGAGGAAUAUUGGUCAAUGGCCGAGAGGCUGAACCAGCCAAGUCGCGUGAAGGAAGAAGGAUCUAUGGUUUGUAAACUUCUUUUAUAGGGGAAUAAAGUGGAGGACGUGUCCUUUUUUGUAUGUACCCUAUGAAUAAGCAUCGGCUAACUCCGUGCCAGCAGCCGCGGUAAUACGGAGGAUGCGAGCGUUAUCCGGAUUUAUUGGGUUUAAAGGGUGCGUAGGUGGUGAUUUAAGUCAGCGGUGAAAGUUUGUGGCUCAACCAUAAAAUUGCCGUUGAAACUGGGUUACUUGAGUGUGUUUGAGGUUGGCGGAAUGCGUGGUGUAGCGGUGACAUGCAUAGAUAUCACGCAGAACUCCGAUUGCGAAGGCAGCUUACUAAACCAUAACUGACACUGAAGCACGAAAGCGUGCGGAUCAAACAGGAUUAGAUACCCUUGGUAUCCACGCAGUAAACGAUGAUUAC
Molecule: ribosomal RNA, 798 nt
Filed under: uncultured organism
Description: SSU rRNA
Rfam family: Bacterial small subunit ribosomal RNA
Source: RNAcentral